RNAcentral lists this unclassified non-coding RNA (1611 nucleotides) under Dendronephthya gigantea. Its description in RNAcentral is "U3 small nucleolar RNA-interacting protein 2-like, transcript variant X1". The record is from RNAcentral. Lineage: Eukaryota; Metazoa; Cnidaria; Anthozoa; Malacalcyonacea; Nephtheidae.
UCUGUUUUCAGUGCAUUAUUUAUUUUUUAUAUUUAAAAACAGUAAAGAAGCUUUACCAUGUCAGGUUUCUUUUUAAGUAACAAACCAAAACGAAAAAAGAAGAAUGUUGAUUCGAAAAUAUUUUCAAAGAAAAAAGUGUCUGAUUCUAGAACAUUGAGGAAUGGAAGUCAAUUUGACAUCAACACAGAUUCUGAAUCAGAAAGUGACAAAGAAGAUAUAAACAGCAACAUAAACAGUUCAGAUGAAGAGACAGCUCAGGAAAAACGACUUCGACUUGCCAAGGAAUAUUUAGUUCAAUUGGAGAAUGAAGAAAGGGAGAACAGGCAAGAUAUCUCUGACGGUGAAGAUGCAGUUGGAGAACGCCUGCAAAAGGAUGUGUUGGAGAAGCAAGGAAAUUUUCAAAGAAAGAUUGCAGAAAAAUGUAUUUGCCCUGAUGAAGACGCUAUCAAAAUAUUUUCUGGCCACAAGCUAUCUCUGACAUGCCUAUGUAUAUCACCUGAUGACAAAAUGAUAUUUUCCGGAUCCAAGGAUUGUUCAAUUAUUAAAUGGGAUAUCCAAACUGGUACAAAAGAGGGAAAGAUACCCAGUGGUCAUUCACAAGCUGAGAGUUCAGACAAUCAUGGGCACGUGGGGCAUAUCUUUGCAAUCGCUAUUUCAUCCGAUGGACAGUAUUUGGCCAGUGGUGGUCAGGACAAGCUCAUCCGUAUAUGGAAUCCAUGCAAUUUGAAACAUAUUCACACAUUUAAAGGACACAGAGAUGCAGUGACUGGACUUGCUUUUCGUCAAGGAUAUAAUCAACUUUUCAGUGCGUCUAAAGAUCGUACGAUUAAAAUUUGGAGCUUGGAUGAAAUGGCGUUUGUCGACACACUGUUUGGCCACGAAGAUGGUAUUACUGCGAUCGACAGCAUGAAAUACGAGCAGGCAGUGAGCUCGGGAGGUCGUGAUACAAGUGUUCGUUUAUGGAAGGUCGUUACAGAAUCCCAGCUAGUCUUUAACGGUUCAUGUGGUUCAAUCGAUUGUUUGCGCAUGAUUAACGAGAAGAGUUUUGUCUCGGGUUCAGAUGAUGGAUCCUUGUCCUUAUGGGCAAUUACGAAGAAGAAACCGUUAUGCACAGUGUCUAAAGCUCAUCAACCAACUGCGGAUAAUAUCGAUGCCCCGCGGGAAUCAUGGAUCACAUCACUGGCCACAGUUAGAAAUACCGACUUAAUAGCCUCGGGUUCGUCAGAUUCCGCAAUCAGGUUUUGGCGAUGCGAAAACGGUAUUAAGUCGCUUUCUCCUUUAUUCACUCUACCAGCGGUUGGUUUUGUUAACUCUUUGGCUUUUUCAAGCGAUGGAAGCUUUUUGGUUGCUGGCAUGGGACAAGAACAUCGAUUAGGGCGUUGGUGGCGGUUAAAAAGUGCUAAGAAUUGCAUCUUUGUUGUUCCGAUUACCAGGACUAUGGAUAAAUCUUAGAGAAAAGUAUUUCACCAUUUUUGUGCUAGAUUCAUUAAGGUUAAAGUUUUUUUUUAAAAAAUCAUCAAGAUCGCAAACAAUCGACUCAAGCGGCAAGAGACCUUGAAGAAGGAGAAUAUUAUGUAUUAAGAGAGAAUUCAUACUUGACAACAUUGGAAC